Molecule: signal recognition particle RNA, 299 nt
Filed under: Saimiri boliviensis boliviensis (Bolivian squirrel monkey)
Lineage: Eukaryota; Metazoa; Chordata; Mammalia; Primates; Cebidae
Description: Metazoan signal recognition particle RNA (ENSSBOG00000000373.1)
Rfam family: Metazoan signal recognition particle RNA
About the family: The signal recognition particle (SRP) is a universally conserved ribonucleoprotein. It is involved in the co-translational targeting of proteins to membranes.
Source: RNAcentral
GCUAGGUGUGGUGGUGCAUGCCUGUAGUCCCAGCUACUUGGGAGGCUGAGGUGGGAGGAUCACUUGAGCCCAGGAAUUCUGGGCUAUAGGGUGCUAUGCCGAUCGGGUGUCUGCACUAAGUUCGGCAUCAAUAUGGUGACUUUCCAGAAGCAGGGGAGCACCAGGCUGCCUGAGGAGGGGUGAACUGGCCCAGGUCAGAAACAGAGCAGAUCAAAACUCCCAUGCUGAUCAGUAGUGGGAUUAUGCCUGUGAAUAGCCACUGCACGCCAUUCUGGGCAACAUAGCGAGACCUGGUCUCU